CCUUCGAUAGCUCAGUUGGUAGAGCGGAGGACUGUAGAGGUCUGUAGUGAUCCUUAGGUCGCUGGUUCAAAUCCGGCUCGAAGGA
This 85-nucleotide transfer RNA is filed under the name Rattus norvegicus (Norway rat). It matches the Rfam family "tRNA". From Rfam's summary of the family: Transfer RNA (tRNA) molecules are approximately 80 nucleotides in length. Lineage: Eukaryota; Metazoa; Chordata; Mammalia; Rodentia; Muridae. The record is from Rfam by way of RNAcentral.